RNAcentral lists this ribosomal RNA (468 nucleotides) under uncultured bacterium. Its description in RNAcentral is "partial 16S ribosomal RNA". It matches the Rfam family "Bacterial small subunit ribosomal RNA", at positions 28 to 507 of the family's 1533-position model. The record is from RNAcentral.
GACGAACGCUGGCGGCGUGCUUAACACAUGCAAGUCGAACGGAAAGGCCCUGCUUUUGUGGGGUGCUCGAGUGGCGAACGGGUGAGUAACACGUGAGUAACCUGCCCUUGACUUUGGGAUAACUUCAGGAAACUGGGGCUAAUACCGGAUAGGAGCUCCUGCUGCAUGGUGGGGGUUGGAAAGUUUCGGCGGGUGGGGAUGGACUGGCGGCUUAUCAGCUUGUUGGUGGGGUAGUGGCUUACCAAGGCUUUGACGGGUAGCCGGCCUGAGAGGGUGACCGGCCACAUUGGGACUGAGAGACGGCCCAGACUCCUACGGGAGGCAGCAGUGGGGAAUAUUGCACAAUGGGCGGAAGCCUGAUGCAGCAACGCCGCGUGCGGGAUGACGGCCUUCGGGUUGUAAACCGCUUUCGCCUGUGACGAAGCGUGAGUGACGGUAAUGGGUAAAGAAGCACCGGCUAACUACGUG